Molecule: ribosomal RNA, 468 nt
Filed under: uncultured bacterium
Lineage: Bacteria
Description: bacterial SSU rRNA
Rfam family: Bacterial small subunit ribosomal RNA
Source: RNAcentral
GUCCAGACUCCUACGGGAGGCAGCAGUGAGGAAUAUUGGUCAAUGGGCGAGAGCCUGAACCAGCCAAGUCGCGUGAGGGAAGACGGUCCUAUGGAUUGUAAACCUCUUUUGUCGGGGAGCAAAAAGGCCUCGUGAGGCCACAAGUGAGAGUACCCGAAGAAAAAGCAUCGGCUAACUCCGUGCCAGCAGCCGCGGUAAUACGGAGGAUGCGAGCGUUAUUCGGAUUUAUUGGGUUUAAAGGGUGCGUAGGCGGGCAUUUAAGCCGGCGGUCAAAUGUCGGGGCUCAACCCCGGCCUGCCGUCGGAACUGGGUGCCUUGAGUGGGCGAGAAGUAUGCGGAAUGCGUGGUGUAGCGGUGAAAUGCAUAGAUAUCACGCAGAACCCCGAUUGCGAGGGCAGCAUACCGGCGCCCUACUGACGCUGAGGCACGAAAGUGCGGGUAUCGAACAGGAUUAGAUACCCCUGUAGG